CAAAUGUCAUUAAUAUUCCUCUGCCACCACACAAUCCACCCCUCCAUGUCUUGCUUCCACAAGCAAGCUCAAGAUAUUAUUUAAACUUUUUAGUUUUGGUUAUUGGGUUUGGUUGUUCUACUUCCAACUUAAGUUUCAUGCAAGGUUUCUUUAUCUUCGAGUCCUAUUCAUGUCCAGAACAGUUGCCUUUUGUUAACCAUUUAAAGUGAAUGAAAUUCUCUUCUCUCGAAUAUCAUGGUGAUUGGAUUAUGACAUUGUUGCUUGGUUUAUUUGAUGUGUUGUUUCUAAGACUCUCAAUUGUGUUUUCACAAACCCUACUGUGUCAAUGUAUUCACUCAACCUUAUGUUUCCUUUCCUCUUUUCAUAUGGCCUUGAGUUCAUGGAUUUUUUAAUACAUAUUCUAUACUCUCAUUUUGCAUCGCCAUUAGUUUAUUUUUCUAAGAUUCAUUCUCAUUAAGUUUUCUUGGAUUUAUGUCUUAAGCAUGAUAUGACCAAUUAGUCCAUAUAUUGUUUUGAAUUGUACUUCGAGUACUAUUCGGCUUGUUAAUAGUUAAUAUCUCCUUGAAUGUUAUUACACCUGAAUAAAGUAGGUUUGAUUUUGAUGAUUCAUUUGUAGCCAGCAAAUUGUUCUUACAAUCUUGUGCAUAUAUUCUUACUCUGUUGUCUCUUAUAUGUGCUCUUGCUUUUAAUAUAUUGUUUUUCCUAGUAAUUAUUCAGUGUUUUUCUUGCUACAAGCUGAAUGAUGGUUUUUGUUUCUUUUAAGUUCAAAGCAACAUGAUUUUUAUUUGUUCUCCAUGCUUGUUUUUUUAUCCAUUCUCUAUCAUAUUUGAUGUACAUAUCUAAUUAUACUUGUGGAGCUAUGCUUGUCCAAGUUUCAAUCUGUCUUUGCAAUCCCUUUUCUUGCAAAGUUUUGUAAGUGAAAGGGGAAAUUUUGGAGAUACUUCUGCUACUGAUAGGUUCAUCUCCAUACUCCAGUAUAUGAUACUAGUUCAAAUUUGCAUUGCAGUGCACAUGCCCAUGUAGAUGGCAGCAUUAUGUGUAUAUGAUGACUUUAGGUUCAUUAAGUAUGAUUCCCAUCCUGGGUCCUGGAUUAUAUGACCCUCCAUGUUCUUCCCAUGCAUGCAUUUUCAUUUCACUUUCACAUUUAAUUUUGCAUAUUAAUGGAAUCUGUUUUAGAUGUGGUUGUGCUUUUUUUCUUCUUUGGUCCUGUUAUUUUUGAGGCCCAUUUGAAUGCCCAAGUGGGGAUUAGGUGCUAAAUGACCCAUGGCUUGUUGGACCUUGGGCUGCAUGUUGAAGGGACCUUGAGCAACAUAAUGUCUGUCCCCAGUGGUAAGUUUUAUCUAUUAACCCAUUAACCUAGAUCAUAAUUUGCAGAUCAUGUUUACAUUUAUUGGAUUCACCUAAGCACGUUAGGAAUGAUUCUCUACCCUUACACCUGAUUCCACCUAUUCUUGGACCAUAUAUGGAAAUCAGUACAUGGACUGGACCCCUCGGGUGCCUAACACCUUCCAAUGGGUGUGAACUGACCCUUGCACAAAUUUUGGAUUUCCAACCAUGGAAUCCAUCUUAAUUUUUUGGGAUUUCCAACCAUGGUAAAGCAGUGCUCCUAUGCAUUCUACUUAGAUGCUUGACCACAUAUCGGUUCAAAUUUUCUGUUUGCCAGCACUUGGCCAUUCCAAGGUGUUCACUCCGAAGUUUGGGGCAUCAAAGUGGGUUUGGGCUUUUUUGGCUGAGCCCAUGAGUUUAGGUACCACAUGGAUCAAGACCUUGGACCUAGUCCCAUUUAUUUUUGGGCUCACCUUGGUAACAUUAUGAACUCUUAUGGUGAUGGGCCCGAUUUGUGUCUAGGUAGACAUACCUAUAGCCCAAAGGUAUGGUAGGUCCAUUAAUGCCAAACAUUGGCAUUACUGGUGCUGGAGGCUAUCCUUCAGAGUUACAGAGGUAGAGUAGUAAUGGCGCCUGUGUGUUAUUAGAGAAACACCACGAAUAUAGUGAAAGAAAACAAAGCAAUUAAUCUUUGCUAUAAAACAUAAAGAAACUAGAUUAGUUUAACAAGGGACAACCUAGAAACCAUUAAGGUUAAAUAGAAGGCAAAUCAUUAUUGACACAAAAACUUGUUAUUUUCAGAUAUUGUCUUGUUUUUCAUUUUUUUUUUUUUUCGUGAAAUUUUUUUGAAAUGUCACAAGACAUCUAUUCUGCCAUGUAGACAGAUGAUAUGUCCAUUCCUAAGUUGUAUAGGGAGGACAUGGCCUAGAUUAGCCACAUAUCAAAUUUCAGAGUCUGUUUCAAUCACAUUCCACCUUUAGUAUUAGGACAUAUCCUGUGUUUUGUCCAUGCAUGUGUACUGGUAUUUUUCCUUUUGGAUUACUUUUUUGCAGAUAUAAUUGUGAGAAAAUUGGGAGCUCCAUUCAGAAUUUGUAGAAACUUUUGUCCUGAAAUGAGAUGCUGUUCAAUGGAAUUUUGCUGUUAGGCAAUCUAUUGAGACCUGGCAUAUUUUGAGAUAUUUGGGAGCUCCAUUGAAGUUUGUUGAAACUUUUGUUGCUGAUGAGUUACUGUCAAUGGAUCAAUGAUGAUUAGCCAUGUGGAGCACAUGCAGAGGGGUGGAGGUUUUCAUCUGUUCUCUUUCAAUCUAGGGAUCUUCUAUAACUUGUUUAGGUUCAAUUGUGACAUACAAAGCUGAUUUUUAGUUCAACAGGAUCUCUAAACAUGAAUUAAAAAAGAUGAGUCAUGUCACCAUUCCAAAUAAAUUUUACUGGAGCAUCCAAAUUUUGGUUCUA
Macadamia integrifolia is the source of this 2777-nucleotide long non-coding RNA. RefSeq lists it as uncharacterized. Lineage: Eukaryota; Viridiplantae; Streptophyta; Magnoliopsida; Proteales; Proteaceae. The record is from RefSeq and is a predicted model, not a curated record. The transcript has 2 exons.